RNAcentral lists this ribosomal RNA (243 nucleotides) under Mycobacterium sp. 24. RNAcentral describes it as "partial 16S ribosomal RNA". It matches the Rfam family "Bacterial small subunit ribosomal RNA", at positions 212 to 454 of the family's 1533-position model. The record is from RNAcentral. Lineage: Bacteria; Bacillati; Actinomycetota; Actinomycetes; Mycobacteriales; Mycobacteriaceae.
UUUGCGGUGUGGGAUGGGCCCGCGGCCUAUCAGCUUGUUGGUGGGGUGAUGGCCUACCAAGGCGACGACGGGUAGCCGGCCUGAGAGGGUGUCCGGCCACACUGGGACUGAGAUACGGCCCAGACUCCUACGGGAGGCAGCAGUGGGGAAUAUUGCACAAUGGGCGAAAGCCUGAUGCAGCGACGCCGCGUGGGGGAUGACGGCCUUCGGGUUGUAAACCUCUUUCACCAUCGACGAAGGUCC